UACAGAGGGGGCAAGCGUUGUUCGGAAUUACUGGGCGUAAAGGGCGCGUAGGCGGCCUUCUAAGUCGAACGUGAAAUCCCCGGGCUCAACCCGGGAACUGCGUCCGAUACUGGAAGGCUUGAAUCCGGGAGAGGGAUGCGGAAUUCCAGGUGUAGCGGUGAAAUGCGUAGAUAUCUGGAGGAACACCGGUGGCGAAGGCGGCAUCCUGGACCGGCAUUGACGCUGAGGCGCGAAAGCCAGGGGAGCAACGGGG
This 253-nucleotide ribosomal RNA is filed under the name uncultured bacterium. RNAcentral describes it as "partial 16S ribosomal RNA". It matches the Rfam family "Bacterial small subunit ribosomal RNA", at positions 524 to 776 of the family's 1533-position model. The record is from RNAcentral.